GCUCUGUCGAGGAGUUCCACAAUAGGACGAAACGGCCGUCCAGUGC
Molecule: non-coding RNA, 46 nt
Organism: Schistosoma curassoni
Lineage: Eukaryota; Metazoa; Platyhelminthes; Trematoda; Strigeidida; Schistosomatidae
Source: Rfam